Molecule: non-coding RNA, 3216 nt
Organism: Oryctolagus cuniculus (rabbit)
Lineage: Eukaryota; Metazoa; Chordata; Mammalia; Lagomorpha; Leporidae
Source: RefSeq, a predicted model, not a curated record
UGCGCUCUAAAGAGAGAGAUGCACCAUUUCACAACUUCAGCAAAAACCAAAGCAGCCAACAAAGCCACAGCCACCUCGGCUGUGCUGGGCUCUGCCUUUUGGGCAGCUCACCGGCCACUCCCCAGAAGCAGAUCAUUCUGUCCUUUCUCUUUAAACUCACGACAUCAUCUGAUCAGAAUGGAAAUCAGUCUCUUCAAGCUACCACGCAAAGGCGUAUCCAUGGCAACCUCAAGAGGAAGGACACAGAGAUGAUGCUCCAGUGACUGCAGCAGGAAAAGGGUCAUUAAAUCAAAUGAGAUCACACCUGUGCAAAGUUCUGUAAUCUGCAAAGUUGGAUAUAAAUACAAGGCAUUACUGUUGUCACCAACCUAAGUCCUCUAUUACUGACAUAUGAAGCUGAGUUUGUCCCCUUUCCUACUUCCAAGCACCUUGUACACUGCAAAUAUAUCCUCUAAAGGUAAGCAUACCCUCUAAAAUACUGCUGUUCAUACACUCAUCUGCCUAACAUCUUUUACUGGCAUCUCACUUCUUGCUGUAAUCUAACCAGCCUGGAUUUGACACAGGUAGUCUCAGCUCUGCAUUACUGUCAGCUUAGGAUGCCUUCCCCAAGCCUUCAAAGUCCAGCUAAAGCUCUAGCACAUUUCGUGCAGAACAAAGACAAAUUUAAAAAAAGAAAUUUCCUAAACAUGAUUUUGGAGAGUGUGGUAAGAACAGCUGCCAUCGGAUACAGUAAGAGUCGAGUUUUUAAAGAGGGAUUACACUUCUUGUCUUCUUGUUUCAUUCUAAGAGAUAACCUAGGACCAACAGGAGGGAAGGGACAGAGAUGUAUUUCAGCAACAUAAAGACCUUCCUUAUUGAGCUAUCCCAAGAAUAAAACAACAUGCUGAAUAUAUGGUUAAUUCCACAUUACUGGAAAUGUUCAAGACAAACUGCAAAAUUUACCAAGGUGACAAGAAUAUUUUGUAAAUGGAACUGAGCCAUCACAAGCAUAGCUGGACUAGACUCCCAGCACCGUGGAUCUUGUCUAGUCCUGACUCUCACUAGACAGGUGAAGGGACUCACCGGGGGCUGCAAGCAGUUUGUUCUGGAGAAGAGGGAGAACACCCUCUCUUUCGACCCAGUGGUCUACACCCGUGCUACGACGAGUGCGGUCCAUGGGGCCAGCAGCAUUAGCAUCACCUGAGAACUUGUCAGAGCUGCGGAGUCGACACCUGUCUUUUAACAGGACCCUACUCAACAUAUGCACCGUUAAAAUUCGAAAAGCACUGACCCUCACUGUCCCUUCCAAACCUCGAGUUUCUAAUUCUGGAACCGUGCUUCUCAAACUGCUCCAGAUGUUAAACAGAGGCACAAGCCCGGAAGGGCAGUGUUAACAGGAAGAUUUGGAAAACUCCCCAUGCCUGCUCUCAGUUGAUUUAUGGUAAGCACCAUUAGCAUAGUGAAGGCUCUGAAAUACUCUGCAGGGCAGAAAACUUUAACCACAAAUUUUCCAAGCAUAUUUGAGUGCAAAAUGUCUCUCUCAAAAAUAAAGCUCAGCAUCUCUUCUGACAUCCCACAGCUCAGGCUGCACAGCAACACACGGUCAAGAGUGUCGCACGGUUCCUGUCACUGUCGGUACCGGCACCGCGGGCUUGCUCCGCGCAGUCAAUGAGGGUAAGUUGCUAAGUCGCGGCCCCCUGACAACGGGCAGAGCUCCCUGUCCUUGCGAGCCGGCGGCGGCCGCGCCUCAAGACCCGGGAUGCGCAGCACCGCUGCUCCAGGGUCCCCUUCCCAGCUCGGGCGGACCCAGGACGGGAAGGACUCACACCCCAAGCACUCAUCCAGAUCCCCAGCUUAAAUCAGUCCUCUGGGAUUGCUUUUCGUGUGACACGUUUCUCCACAAGCGCCCACACAGAGCCUGCGGCUCUGAGCGGGUUCAGGGGUGCAGCGGACGCUCCCAGCAAAGGGGGGGGGGGGGUUGCAGUUCUGGAGGGACGCGGAGGCGCAGUCACUCUGACUCCGGCAGAACAGUGUCAGGUGGAAGAGCUCAAGUGGGUGGGGGGAGGCUGGGCUCAAACACUCGGGGGGAGCCCCCCAGACCGGGGCGAACGCCCACCCCUUCCGCGGCCCAGCCCCGUCAGCCCCCGCCCCGCACAUCGAGCGCCAUGCUGCGCCCUAAGCCAGUGACGAGCUCCCGGCCCACCGCCCGCAACCUCGUAAACACUUGGGGGCGGCGGAGCAGACGGUUGGCAGGGUCGCCGCCUCCGUACCUGUCCUGUCAGGGGCUCCGCGCCCGGCUCGGGCCACACCGGCGACCGACGCCCAAGACCCUGCGGGGCGCGCCCCGCCCUCAUGGGCUGCCCGACGCGCCGCCUGACCCCUCCAGUACCUCCCCAGAACCCCCCACCCCUCGGGCCCAGAGGCACUCUGGGUCCGGGGUGCACGGUACUCUUUACUGCAGUCCCAACCGGACUGACAACUCCGCACCGAGCACUGUCGCGAUCACAUCGAUCAGGCACAAAACUGGACACCUGGGGCGUGAUGUGCGCAUGCGUAUUGUGCCUGGGAGGCCUAUUUAGGCGCAUAAAGGAGAGGAUCGUCGUGGCGAACGCCCUCUGUCGGAGCAGAGGAGACAGCGCAGAGGAGCUGGAAGUGCAAGCUUCUGAGUGCUAAUUAAAACAGGAGUGAUAAAUCAUAUCUUGUCGGUUAGCUUGGGAAAAAAAUAAAUUUUGAUGCUACUCAGUGUUAUACAUCAUGUGCAGAUACAUUCUAAUAUGCUUGUAAUGAAGAUGUAAAAUAACACAAAUUUAUAUAAUGCCAUUUUGGCUUUUUUAUAUUAAAAGAAACAUUGAACAAUAAACUUCUUGACCCAAUGUACCCUCUUCCAAAAAUGAAGCCUUAAAAAACGGAUCACGUGGGGCCGGCGGCGAAGCGGAUUAAAGCCCCAGCCUACAGUACUGGCAUCCAUGUGGGCGCCAGUUUGAGUCCCAGCUGCUCCACUUCUGAUCCAGCUCCUUGCUAACGUGCCUUGGAAAAGCAACAGAAGAUGGCCAAAGUGUCUGGGCCCCUGCCAUUCACAUGAGAUACCCAGAAGAAGCUGCUGGCUUCGGAUUUGCUCAGCUCUGGCUGUUUCGGCCAUUUGGGGAGUGAACCAGCAGAUGGAAGACCUCUUUCUCUCUCUGUUCUACCUCUCUCUCUGUAACUCUUUCAAAUAAAUAAAUUAAAAAAAAAAAAAAA